ACAUAAAACAAGGGGAGCUUUUAGCUGAGAGUGAACAUUACUAUGUUCUGACCCACUGAACCUGUUACGUUAGUGCGUGCGUAGGGAUGUGUUGUCGUCUAUCG
Molecule: non-coding RNA, 104 nt
Filed under: Dolosigranulum pigrum
Lineage: Bacteria; Bacillati; Bacillota; Bacilli; Lactobacillales; Carnobacteriaceae
Also listed under: 1 other name
Description: TPP sequence
Rfam family: TPP riboswitch aptamer (THI element)
About the family: Vitamin B(1) in its active form thiamin pyrophosphate (TPP) is an essential coenzyme that is synthesised by coupling of pyrimidine and thiazole moieties in bacteria. The previously detected thiamin-regulatory element, thi box was extended, resulting in a new, highly conserved RNA secondary structure, the THI element, which is widely distributed in eubacteria and also occurs in some archaea. Analysis of operon structures identified a large number of new candidate thiamin-regulated genes, mostly transporters, in various prokaryotic organisms.
Source: RNAcentral